CUGCAGUCGAGCGACUGAUUAGAAGCUUGCUUCUAUGACGUUAGCGGCGGACGGGUGAGUAACACGUGGGCAACCUGCCUGUAAGACUGGGAUAACUUCGGGAAACCGAAGCUAAUACCGGAUAGGAUCUUCUCCUUCAUGGGAGAUGAUUGAAAGAUGGUUUCGGCUAUCACUUACAGAUGGGCCCGCGGUGCAUUAGCUAGUUGGUGAGGUAACGGCUCACCAAGGCAACGAUGCAUAGCCGACCUGAGAGGGUGAUCGGCCACACUGGGACUGAGACACGGCCCAGACUCCUACGGGAGGCAGCAGUAGGGAAUCUUCCGCAAUGGACGAAAGUCUGACGGAGCAACGCCGCGUGAGUGAUGAAGGCUUUCGGGUCGUAAAACUCUGUUGUUAGGGAAGAACAAGUACGAGAGUAACUGCUCGUACCUUGACGGUACCUAACCAGAAAGCCACGGCUAACUACGUGCCAGCAGCCGCGGUAAUACGUAGGUGGCAAGCGUUAUCCGGAAUUAUUGGGCGUAAAGCGCGCGCAGGCGGCUUCUUAAGUCUGAUGUGAAAGCCCACGGCUCAACCGUGGAGGGUCAUUGGAAUCUGGGGAACUUGAGUGCAGAAGAGAAAAGCGGAAUUCCACGUGUAGCGGUGAAAUGCGUAGAGAUGUGGAGGAACACCAGUGGCGAAGGCGGCUUUUUGGUCUGUAACUGACGCUGAGGCGCGAAAGCGUGGGGAGCAAACAGGAUUAGAUACCCUGGUAGUCCACGCCGUAAACGAUGAGUGCUAAGUGUUAGAGGGUUUCCGCCCCUUUUAGUGCUGCAGCUAACGCAUUUAAGCACUCCGCCUGGGGGAGUACGGUCCCAAAACUGAAACUCCAAAGGAAUUGACGGGGGCCCGCACAA
RNAcentral lists this ribosomal RNA (896 nucleotides) under uncultured bacterium. RNAcentral's name for it is "bacterial SSU rRNA". It matches the Rfam family "Bacterial small subunit ribosomal RNA", at positions 55 to 928 of the family's 1533-position model. The record is from RNAcentral.